AAUACCUACGGGGCGCAGCAGUGGGGGAUAUUGCACAAUGGGGGAAACCCUGAUGCAGCGACGCCGCGUGGGUGAAGAAGCGCCUCGGCGCGUAAAGCCCUGUCAGCAGGGAAGAAAAUGACGGUACCUGAAGAAGAAGCCCCGGCUAACUACGUGCCAGCAGCCGCGGUAAUACGUAGGGGGCAAGCGUUAUCCGGAUUUACUGGGUGUAAAGGGGGCGCAGACGGCGAUGCAAGCCAGGAGUGAAAGCCCGGGGCCCAACCCCGGGACUGCAUUGGAAACUACCGAACUAGAGGGUCGGAGAG
Molecule: ribosomal RNA, 305 nt
Filed under: uncultured bacterium
Lineage: Bacteria
Description: bacterial SSU rRNA
Rfam family: Bacterial small subunit ribosomal RNA
Source: RNAcentral